Molecule: long non-coding RNA, 1379 nt
Organism: Hippocampus comes (tiger tail seahorse)
Lineage: Eukaryota; Metazoa; Chordata; Actinopteri; Syngnathiformes; Syngnathidae
Exons: 3
Source: RefSeq, a predicted model, not a curated record
AGAACAUCCUCGAACCGUUGGCUGGUCGCCAUUCUCGUAGACGAAUCGGGGGGAAAAGUCUCACACCGUCGGACAGUCAGGGGAGGCGGUCAUUAACGGCGACCAAUGGCGAGAGGGAAGAGGCCAGCAGGCGCGAGAGCUGGCUGUCAAUCAUUCCGUUGUUGUCCAAUCACCACCUGCAAGACGCGAGGCGAGUAUACUGCACCCCACGUGGGGCUCCAAGCCUCUGAUGCUAAAUGACACAGACCUUAUGAAACCCAAAUGUCAAGUGAGGCGAGGGCCUCAUAUCGAGCCCUGUCAAUCACGGCUCUCUGCACGCCUGAAGCCCCGACGACGGAUUAUUGGCUUCAGCACAAGGGCUGCCUAUGCCGCCGGCCACCGAGCCUCUGACGAUUUGACAGCACAGGCUCUUGUUUUUUUUUUUUCGGUCUUCUAAAGAGGAACUUCAUUUGGCAGCUGAUGCACAGGAGAUUGCACGGGAGAAGGUUUUUGAGACGGGAAGCAGGCUGGAUAUGAGUGUCAGUGUGUAUAUGUGUGUGUGGUGGUAAGAAGGAACCGGGCGGGCUGGCAGGUUCAGGGUAUGGUGACUAACUGUAGGCCAUUGUCAGCUAUGACUGCUUCUCAUCAACACAACAAAUCACCCCCCCCCAUACAAAUAAAAAAGAUGAACACAUUGCUCUUGUCCAGUGUGCCACACGAGGAGUUCUAUUUCAGCAAAGGUGAGCCGACUUUCAUUUCGUACAUGUCCUUAAAUGCGAGGCGAACCACAGCUGGAGUGCUGGCUGGAACAUAAAGUACAAAUGUGCAACCAUAAACCAUAGGCUGGAUUUGCACCUACAUGCUUGACAUGACCCAAUUCAACCCUCCCGCCCCCGCCCCCACCACACUUGGUCUGCAUGAGCAAAACACAUUGCACAACCCCAGUUCCUAAAUAUGCAUUCAUCCAUUUUCUAUUCCCCGUUUUGGGCUUAGUUAUUUCGCCCAAUUUGGCUUACUUUAAAGCCAGUAGUUUCAAUCGUGUGUUUAUUUUUGCUGUGUUUUACUCUGCUGUCAGCAGCCAGGCCAGCAUUGCAAGUGAGAAUCUGACCUCAAGUUUCAGGAAAAAAAAAAUGGUGAGGCAGACGUGCUGCAAAAUAUUUAUGCAGUGGUCACUUCACUUAUGAGUUGACCACUUUAAAAACUUUUUUUUUUCUUUUGCCUUGUGUUGCGAGCCAAAAUUGAAACUUGAAAGCAGGCGCGACUAAACACUCCAAAAGGUCAAAGCACCACAUCAUAAUUGUAACGUAAAUCUUGCUUUACUUAAUGGUGAGGCUUAAAUGUUUUAUGUCAUAAUGUCAAAACUCAUUGAUUCGCGCAAACCACAUCUGGUGGCACAGUUU